UACGGAGGGUGCGAGCGUUGUCCGGAAUCACUGGGCGUAAAGGGCGCGUAGGCGGCCUGAUAAGUAGGGGGUGAAAUCCUGCGGCUUAACCGCAGGGCUGCCUUCUAAACUGUCAGGCUCGAGCACAGUAGAGGCAGGUGGAAUUCCCGGUGUAGCGGUGGAAUGCGUAGAGAUCGGGAAGAACACCGGAGGCGAAGGCGGCUUGCUGGGCUCGGUCUGACGCUGAGGCGCGAAAGCGUGGGGAGCGAACAGG
RNAcentral lists this ribosomal RNA (253 nucleotides) under uncultured bacterium. Its description in RNAcentral is "partial 16S ribosomal RNA". It matches the Rfam family "Bacterial small subunit ribosomal RNA", at positions 524 to 776 of the family's 1533-position model. The record is from RNAcentral.